GCCUGGGUGGCUCAGGGGGUUAAGCGUCUGACUUCAGCUCAGGUCAUGAUCUCACAGUUCGUGAGUUCAAGCCCCACAUCGGGCU
Felis catus (domestic cat) is the source of this 85-nucleotide transfer RNA. It matches the Rfam family "tRNA". Rfam says of the family: Transfer RNA (tRNA) molecules are approximately 80 nucleotides in length. Their secondary structure includes four short double-helical elements and three loops (D, anti-codon, and T loops). Further hydrogen bonds mediate the characteristic L-shaped molecular structure. tRNAs have two regions of fundamental functional importance: the anti-codon, which is responsible for specific mRNA codon recognition, and the 3' end, to which the tRNAs corresponding amino acid is attached (by aminoacyl-tRNA synthetases). tRNAs cope with the degeneracy of the genetic code in two manners: having more than one tRNA (with a specific anti-codon) for a particular amino acid; and 'wobble' base-pairing, i.e. permitting non-standard base-pairing at the 3rd anti-codon position. Lineage: Eukaryota; Metazoa; Chordata; Mammalia; Carnivora; Felidae. The record is from Rfam.